Molecule: ribosomal RNA, 253 nt
Filed under: uncultured bacterium
Lineage: Bacteria
Description: partial 16S ribosomal RNA
Rfam family: Bacterial small subunit ribosomal RNA
Source: RNAcentral
UACGUAGGGCGCAAGCGUUGUCCGGAAUUAUUGGGCGUAAAGAGCUCGUAGGCGGUUUGUCGCGUCUGCCGUGAAAGUCCGGGGCUCAACUCCGGAUCUGCGGUGGGUACGGGCAGACUAGAGUGAUGUAGGGGAGACUGGAAUUCCUGGUGUAGCGGUGAAAUGCGCAGAUAUCAGGAGGAACACCGAUGGCGAAGGCAGGUCUCUGAGCAUUAACUGACGCUGAGGAGCGAAAGCAUGGGGAGCGAACAGG